This is a long non-coding RNA of Pieris rapae (cabbage white), 498 nucleotides long. RefSeq lists it as uncharacterized. The record is from RefSeq and is a predicted model, not a curated record. NCBI's taxonomy places the organism in Eukaryota, Metazoa, Arthropoda, Insecta, Lepidoptera, Pieridae. The transcript has 4 exons.
CUUUAUUAAACCUAAUGCAUAACAGUACUACUAUUAAUAUAUUAAGAAUAAAGACAGUUUAUUUAGGUACUAAUAUUUAAAUAGGUCAGGUUUACACCUUGAUAUUUUAAUACCAAUAAUCAGUGCUGAAUUCUACGAUUCCUGUAUAAGCAAGCAAUUUCUGUUUAAUCUUGUAAUAUUUUUUUUCGAAAAUGCUGAAAGCACUGAUCAUCUUUGGAAGUGGGGUUUAUACAGGUGUAUAUGUAGCACAAACUUACCAGGAUUUUCUUUCUCUAUUUUGUAAGAGAACAGCACAAGAAUGUGAGAGAGCUCUGGAAAAAAAGAAAUGAUAGAAAAGGUGGAGUCCCCGCAGGUUUUAGUUGAGAAAGCUCAGGCCUUUAUUAAAGCAAAAAUUGAUGAGUUCAAUGGCAAAAAAGACUAAUGUAGGCUUGAAUUAAAUUGUAAAUACGUGGGUUGUAGCAUGAUUUUAUUUUAUAAUAAAUAAUACAUGAAAUUGUA